This 80-nucleotide transfer RNA is filed under the name Desulfocarbo indianensis. RNAcentral describes it as "tRNA-Leu". The record is from RNAcentral. Lineage: Bacteria; Pseudomonadati; Thermodesulfobacteriota; Desulfarculia; Desulfarculales; Desulfarculaceae.
GGCUUUGUAGAAUUGCUUUGCGAGACUUAAAAUCCCCAGGCUGUAAAGCCGUGCGGGUUCGAGUCCCGCCCUAGGCACCA